Molecule: long non-coding RNA, 7539 nt
Filed under: Zea mays
Lineage: Eukaryota; Viridiplantae; Streptophyta; Magnoliopsida; Poales; Poaceae
Description: long non-coding RNA (ZMAY_LNC002689)
Source: RNAcentral
GCCAGUCAGUGAGGACCCUUGUUAGGCCAGCAUUAAACCUUCAAAUUCCUAUUUCCUCGCAGGAGCAGGAAGCAGCGCAGACCACAGAGCACACAACACAUGACCAUGAUGAGGCUGGCUUUAGGUGCUGUUUGGUUUACGAAAUGUAACAUAAAUAAUAAUGAUAAUGAUUCGCACUUAGUGAGUUUGAAUGUGAGCUUCUCCCGAUGCCCCAUCCUGCUGCUCCUUCAGUGCUUCUUCUUGACCUGUUGCUUUCCCGUGCCCUGUGAAGAGAACCCAACACGUUUGUUAGAUUCCUCGUGAUUAAUGAUGCCCAUUCUAUGCCCAGAUAUUGGUAUAUUGGUUAGAGCAUCGCUGCAUAAGCAGGGAUCUAUGUAGAAAUGUAGAUUGAGAGAUGAAGGGCCAAAAUGUUAGCUACUCACAACAGGCUUUCCUUUUUUCACCUGAAACCUCAAAAGGUUGAUGCAAAAUUUUAUAGGCCAUGACCUCCAAGAGUGGGCAUCCUACAGUCGCCCAACGCUAGAUACAGAUGGUCACUAAACUGGUUGUGGCAAAAUCCAGCAUCAAACUAAACAGCCCAUCAAUUUACUAUACCUCAACAGCUCAACCUAUUUGUGGAGAUUCAGCAGUUAUGCCAAUCCUACUCUAAGCUUACUAUCGAGAUUAUUAGGGUUUUUUAAGUUUGAUGCUGGUGCCCUCAGUUUUGCUGGUGUUCUUGUUUUUUACCUUUAUUCGUGUUUUUUGCUCAGUUUUACCCUUCUGCUCUAUAGCACUAGAAAGACAAAACUAAGCAAAAAAACACGACUAAAGGUAAAAAUGAGGACACCAUCAAAACCAAGAGCAUCAGCUUAAAAAACCCUUAUUAACCUAUGAAGAUCCAACAUAUAGGUAAUAACCAUCUUCCGUGGUUCCAUAGCCUUCGAAGUUCUGAAUAUGGUGUUUAAGAAACUAAGCUAUCCUCAGUUUAGAAAUUACAGAGCACAUGACAAAUACAUGGAUUAUGCAGCAAACAUUUUUUUUUUGGACACCUACCUAGACCUGGUAGUAUGAGAAUCACAAUAGUACUUAUGAAGUCAAAUGUAGUACAGUUAAUCAAGAAAGAGGAUCGGUAAAUCUGCAGACCACCUUAGCACAGUUUGUACUCAACAAAUGAGUUUAAUCCAUAAUCAAAAGGAUACUUUUUUUUCUCGAACGCGCAGGAGAACUGCGCCCCAUUAUAUAUUAAGCAUAAGAAAAUAGAAACAAAGGUUUACAGUCCUCCUUACGGAGGCCAGAAACAGGCAUACAAAUAUAGAUCCAUAAGGGGAUCAAAAAACAAACUACUCAAAUCUUCCUAAGGAAAGGAUACUGGACCUUGUCAUACUGUUGCCCGCUUUAGCAAGAGAUAAAAAACAAGUGUAUGACAUGCAUGUGUUUGUUUUACAAUGCAAAGUUGGUAGGUCAUAUUCGAAAAAUAUAUAUUUCUAAAUGAAGAGUUUAUUUUGUUUUCAGGAGUUAGCAACGUCUGUUCAUAUGUGUGUUACAAGGAAAAGACCUAUCAGAAUCAUAAAUGAAGUAAGCGGGGUGAUUCGACCAUCAAGGUGAAUGUGUCCCCUUAUCUUUCAUUAGCUACCAGAGUACAGAUAUAGAUCCCAACAUCCCGUUCCAUCUCAAACCUAAGCGCUUGAUCAAAUUUAGAAGAUAAGUUACUCAAAUGCACAAGUAUGGAUUUGAUAGUCUGUUAUUAGUCAACAGUUUUGACUUAAGGCAAACUUAGAUCCCUUAUAUUUCAGACGGACAGAGUAAUUUAUCAAGAUAUAUUGACUUUAUAUGCCAUUCUGUCAGGAUGACACUACUUCUAGGAGCACCUGGUUCCGGGAAGACGACUCUACUAAAAGCGUUAGCAGGAAAAUUGGAUUCUUCUUUGAAGGUAUACUGAGCUACCUACAUGCUACCAAAAGUAUUUGUCAACAAGAAAAGGCAAAAAUAGAUAAUAAUGUCUAGCAUUAACUAACAGAAAUAUAUAUUUUCUAACGGCCAACGAUUGCCAACAGUUCAAAGGAAAAGUCAUGUACAAUGGAGAAGAAAUUAAUUACUCAACACCACAGACACAGUACCUGCGUACUUAUGUUAGCCAGUAUGAUCUUCACCAUGCUGAGAUGACAGUAAGAGAGACAAUCGACUUCUCUUCCAAGAUGCUUGGAACCAAUAAUGAAUUUGGUAAGAUAUACUCUUGCGUAUAGGGAGCUAUUUAUUUAUUUUAAAGAUCAUUGGAAUGUGCUGCGAUUUAUAACAAGGCAAAUACUUAAGAAUGAAGUGUCUACACAAUACUCAAGCUAAAUCAAUUUUUCCAUGGCAUCUAUACUGACACAAAUUUCCUGUUUGAAUGGAAUGACAAACUCAGAUAUGCUAGGAGAAGCAAUAAGAAGAAAAAAGGGUGUCAUCAAUGAAGUGGAUCAAGAUCUUGAUUCAUUCAUUAAGGUAGUUCCAUUGCACUACUUUGUUUUUGCAAGACUGGAUUAUGUUUUGUUUAGUUACUCAAAUAGCUCUUCUCUCAGGCCACCACCUUUGGAGAAGGAAGCAACCUCACAACAAACUAUAUUAUCAAGGUAACUUGGUUACUUGCUUGAUUUGCUAUAUCUUGAAGAUAUAAUAGUAACAGUUGAUUAUAUGCAGAUACUUGGCCUGUCUGAGUGUGCUGAUACCCUAGUAGGAGACGAGAUGAGAAGAGGAAUAUCUGGAGGGCAAAAGAAGAGAGCCACAGUUGGUAAGCAUUUCUAUAAGGGCUGAUGGUAGAAGACAAAUACAGCCAUAUAUAGGUUUUAUGUAGCUGCCACCAGAAGGACACAUUUCAAUCUGAAAGAAAACGACUACUGACAUUUCACCACCUCAAGAAUGUAAAAUAUAGGGUAGGAAUCUUCAUGAUAGCGAAGAAUGACUAGCUCUAAAAUAGAAUGUUUAUAACUCUCAAGUAAGAUGGAAGUAACAACCAGAAAUUAGAAUGACGAACAGAGUAAGGAGAUACUUAACUGGAACCUAACCUAAGUUGGCAUACGCUAAAGUGAAGUUGUUUAAUGCAGGGGAGAUGCUAGUUGGUCUGGCAAGAUGCUUCUUUAUGGAUGAUAUAUCAACAGGUCUUGAUAGCUCCACGGCAUUUGAGAUCAUGAAGUUUCUCCAACAGAUGGCCCAUUUGAUGGAUCUCACAAUGGUAAUUUCCUUGUUGCAACCACCGCCUGAGACAUUGGAAUUAUUUGACGACAUUAUACUUUUAUGUGAGGGGCAAAUUGUGUAUCAUGGUCCCCGAGAAAAUGCUACGGACUUGUUCGAAACCAUGGGAUUCAAAUGCCCUGACAGGAAGAAUGUAGCCGAUUUCCUUCAAGAGGUAAUCAACCAUCAAAUGUGCCUAACUGCCAAUAAUAAAUAGCUAAACUUUGAGAUAAUUAAUACAUCAGAUCCUCAAAAUGUAUAGUGUUCAAGGCUAACUUUGAGAUAAUUAAUACAUCAGAUCCACAAAAUUAAGCAGGCAAUAGAUGACUUACAAUUCUAUGCAUGAGCAUAAAAUGUCAUUGUUCUGCAAUACACGUGCUUUUGCAAAAUAAUGUAACAAGUUUUCUCCAAUUGGCCACUGACCAGGUAACCUCUAAGAUGGACCAAAAGCAAUACUGGACUGGUGACCAAAAUAAGUAUCAGUACCAUACAAUUGAAAAUUUUGCAGAAUCCUUCCGCACGUCAUAUCUUCCUCUUCUAGUAGAAGACAAACUGUGCAGUCCAAACAAUACUGGAAAGAAUAAGGAGGUAAAAGUGAAUGCAGGUCGCCGAGUAUCCAGAUGGAAUAUUUUCAAAGCAUGCUUUUCAAGGGAACUGCUGCUGCUGAAAAGAAACUCUCCGGUCCAUAUAUUCAAGACCAUUCAGAUAACUGUUAUGGCUUUGGUGAUCUCCACACUUUUCCUGAGAACAAAAAUGAGUCACAAUUCUGUACUUGAUGCCAACAAGUACAUGGGAGCACUUUUUAUGGCUGUCGUCAUAGUAAACUUCAAUGGGAUGACUGAAAUUGCAAUGACGAUAAAGCGGCUUCCCACCUUCUACAAGCAAAGAGAGCUACUAGCAUUGCCAGGAUGGGCACUCCUUUGUUCAGUUUACCUUAUUAGCAUCCCAAUAUCGCUUGUUGAGACAGGCCUUUGGACAGGCUUAACCUACUAUGUGAUUGGAUAUGCACCUUCUGCUAUCAGGUACUCAUCUCCUGGUACUUACAUGCUGAAUGACUUCUGAUGCUUCAGCUUCAAUAGGUAAAAGCAAGAAAUGAAAUUACAUUGCUUAUGGCAGGUUCAUCCAGCACUUUCUGGUACUUUUUGCCAUGCAUCAAAUGUCAAUGGGCUUGUAUCGCUUCUUAGCGGCCAUAGGAAGGACGCAAGUGAUGGCCAACAUGCUAGGGACUGCAGCUCUUAUUGCAAUCUACAUACUUGGAGGAUUCGUCAUAUCAAAAGGUUAGAUGAAUGUAGCUUAGCAUACACCAUGAAACAUGCAUGAGUACAAGACAUACAAUCUUUACUAAAAGUUUGUGCAACAAGUUGUUAACCAAUUCUGCAAACUGAAACAGAUGAUCUCCAACCAUGGUUGCGCUGGGGAUAUUGGACGUCCCCGUUCACCUAUGCACAGAAUGCGAUCGCCCUCAAUGAGUUCCAUGACAAAAGAUGGAAUUCAGUAAGCACUAAUUUCAAAACUUGGAAGUGAUUGCUAUAUGGUAGUAUAUCCUAUUUCAAAUUAAUUACAAUAAGGUUCUUGAUCUUUUGUUUCUGGUAGGAAUUUUAUUAUAACGGUGCAAACACCGUCGGUGAAGCUAUCCUCAAGAUCAGAGGGCUGCUCAUGGAGUGGCACUGGUACUGGAUUUGUGUCACCAUUUUGUUUGGAUACUCGCUGGUCUUCAACAUCUUCAGCAUAUUUGCAUUGGAGUUCAUCGGCUGUAUGUAUACCAAUCUAUCACAAACCUCCUAAAUAUUGCAUUUAAACGAAAAAAUAAUUAUCUGCUUGUUUACUGCUUGCAGCUCCACACAAGCAUCAAGUUAACAUCAAGACCACAAAAGUGAAUUUCGUGUACAAUAGGCAGAUGGCUGAAAAUGGCAAUUCAUCAAAUGAUCAAGUUAUCCUCCCAUUUCGACCCCUCUCCCUGGUCUUUGAUCAUAUUCAAUAUUUUGUUGACAUGCCUAAGGUAAUAUCUUGUUCACUUAUUAAGAUCUUACCUGGUAGCUUCAUUAAUUCCUAUCACAUACUGAAGACAAGAAUACAAAUAUCCCACCAGGAGAUGACAAAAAAUGGAGCAACGAAGAAAAAGCUUCAGCUGCUACAAGAUGUCAGUGGUGCUUUUAGGCCAGGAGUACUAACAGCUCUGAUGGGGAUAACUGGCGCUGGCAAGACAACAUUGCUCGAUGUAUUAGCUGGAAGGAAAACUGGGGGAUAUAUCGAAGGGACUAUUAAGAUAGCAGGCUAUCCUAAGAAGCAGGAUACAUUCUCAAGGAUCUCAGGUUACUGUGAACAGAGUGACAUUCAUUCCCCUAAUCUCACUGUUUAUGAGUCACUGAAAUUUUCUGCAUGGCUUCGUCUACCUUCAAAUGUUAAACCUCAUCAAAGAGACGUAUGUGUAUUGUGUUUCAACCUCACCCCCUCUUUAUCCCUGCUGGAGCCUAGAAACUAGUUUCUGACACAAAAUUUCUCUUAAAACACAUUUCAGAUGUUCAUCAAAGAAGUCAUGAACCUUAUUGAGAUCACUGACUUGAAAAAUGCCAUGGUAGGCAUCCCAGGAGCAACUGGCCUGUCAGCCGAGCAGCGGAAAAGACUAACAAUAGCUGUGGAGCUAGUGGCCAGUCCCUCCAUUAUAUUCAUGGAUGAGCCAACCACCGGCUUGGAUGCUCGUGCUGCAGCUAUUGUCAUGAGAACAGUACGAAAGACGGUUGACACUGGACGAACUGUUGUCUGCACAAUUCAUCAACCAAGCAUUGAGAUUUUUGAAUCUUUUGAUGAGGUAUGAACAAGUUUAGAUGGUAUAGCCAUAUAAGUGGACAAAACAUAGACACAACAAGCAAUUGAGAAACAUGAUAGUCCAAUGCUGGAGUGGUGUCAAGGUAAUUACACAAUUAAAACAAACAUGAUUCUCGACAAACUUAAACAGCAGUCAAAUUGGACAAAUGUACAGAAGUAUGAAUGAAGUUGUAAAAUGCAGUUGUAAGUUAAAGUAGAAGACAAUCAAAGAACUACAUGAUAAACUGGUCUUUCUUUUAUACAAGUACGUAUAGGCACUAUGGAAUUACCAUCCUAAGUUUUAAAUUAAAUUUGUUCCAUUUCAGCUUCUGCUUAUGAAAAGAGGUGGCCAGCUCAUAUACAGUGGUUCGGUAGGUCCACUCUCUAGCAACAUGAUAAAAUAUUUUGAGGUAAGAUUGCCUAAGAUAGACGUUUAUAUUUGAAAGAUGCAGAGAGAAGAAAAUACUGAAAAUUACUUUGUAACAGGCCAUACCAGGCGUUCCUAAAAUAAACAAGGGACAAAACCCAGCAACAUGGAUGUUAGACAUCAGUUCACACAUAACAGAAUAUGAAAUUGGAGUGGACUAUGCAGAAAUUUAUUGCAAUUCCUCCCUGUACAGGUGCACCCAAUAGUACAGCCGUAAAACUGCGAAUAACUUUAUUUUAGUUGGUACAAACAAUAAGGCCUUACUCGUUUUGUACUUAAACCAUGUGGAUUGAGGAGUAUUGGGGUGGAUUGAGGUAGAUUUUGACUAGCUGUGGAUUUAUUCCCCCCUCAAUCCACAUGGAUUUGGAAAAAACGAACAUGGCCUAAGAUGGAAGUCAAUCUAAUGAAAUUCUUGGUGGCACCUGCAGGGAGAACAGGGUUCUAAUUGAUGAAUUGGAACAACCAGAACCAAACACAGAUGCUCUGUAUUUUCCUCAGGGUUAUUGGCAAAACUUUACGAUACAAUGUGUGGCAUGUUUGUGGAAGCAAAGUUGUGCAUACUGGAAAAACUCAGAACACAAUGUUGUCCGGUUCAUUAACACUUUUGCUGUUUCAAUCAUGUUUGGAAUUGUAUUCUGGAAAAUUGGCUCAAGCAUGUAAUCGGAUUAUUAUUAUCUUUCAUGACUAUUAAAUUAUUUUUUUAUGCCCCAAUCAAGAUCUAACAUGUAUUUCUUUGUGCAACAGCAAGGAUGAGCAAGACGUAUUAAACAUACUUGGAAUCGUAUAUGGAUCGGCAUUGUUCCUGGGUUUCAUGAAUUGCAGCAUCCUACAGCCGGUUGUGGCAAUGGAGAGAGUUGUGCUCUACCGUGAAAAGGCGGCAGGCAUGUACUCCACCAUGGCAUACGCUAUCGCUCAGGUAACAUAACACAUCAACAAUCAACCUGUCCUAAGAAAAUCCAGUUGUUCUGAUCACCAGAACAGGCUUGGCACAGAUUAUGAACCGAAGGUUUACGUGUUGCAGGUGUCGGUGGAAUUACCUUACAUGUUGGUGCAAGUGAUGAUCUUCUCAUCAAUCGUGUACCCAAUGAUUGGGUUCCAGGUGACAGCGAGCAAAUUCUUCU